UGAGUCAGUCUCAACUUUUCGUUGCAGACCCACUGCGCUUUUCUGAGAGUCCCCCCUGCAUCAACCCCCCCGCCGCAGCCUUAACGCACUUCCCCCAUUCAAAAUGAAUGGGAAGACUUGCGUUUUCGCCGAACCAUCGGACCCACGCACGCUGUUUGAAGGC
Etheostoma cragini (Arkansas darter) is the source of this 163-nucleotide long non-coding RNA. RefSeq lists it as uncharacterized. NCBI's taxonomy places the organism in Eukaryota, Metazoa, Chordata, Actinopteri, Perciformes, Percidae. The record is from RefSeq and is a predicted model, not a curated record. The transcript is spliced from 3 exons.